This is a long non-coding RNA of Labeo rohita (rohu), 1164 nucleotides long. RefSeq lists it as uncharacterized. NCBI's taxonomy places the organism in Eukaryota, Metazoa, Chordata, Actinopteri, Cypriniformes, Cyprinidae. The record is from RefSeq and is a predicted model, not a curated record. The transcript has 2 exons.
UGUGUUUUCUAGUGUGGAUCAUGGAGGAGAGUUCAGGAUCACAUCAGGACUCCACAAAUAUGCCUGUGAUCUCACACUGGAUACAAACACAGCAAACAAACACCUCAAACUGUCUGACGAGAACAGAAAGGUGACGUGUGUGGAUGAACAACAGUCAUAUCCUGAUCAUCCAGACAGAUUUGAUGUAUAUCUCAGGUUCUGAGUGUUGAGAGUUUGACUGGACGCUGUUACUGGGAGACUGAAUGGAGUGGAGAUAAUGUUUAUAUAUCAGUGUCAUAUAAAGAAAUCAAGAGGAAAGGAUGGAGUUAUGACUGUGUGUUUGGACAUAAUGUGAACUCCUGGAGUCUGAUCUGCUCUGAUCACAGAUUCACUGCCCUUCACAAUAAUAAGUCCACUGCUGUAUCUGCUGGUUCAGUGUCCAGUAAGAGAGUAGGAGUGUAUGUGGACGUGUCUGGCGGCACUUUGUCCUUCUACAGCGUCUCUGACACACACAAACUCACACACUUACACACAUUCACACACACAUUCACUCAAACACUACACGCUGGAUUUAGACUUGGUUAUUCAAACUCUUCAGUGUCUCUGUGUGACAUUGACAUUAAACACACACACACACAUUAAACACACACACACAUUAAACACACACACACAUUAAACACACACACACAUUAAACACACACAGACAUUAAACACACACACACAUUAAACACACACACACAUUAAACACACACAGACAUUAAACACACACACACAUUAAACACACACACAUUAAACACACACACACAUUAAACACACACACACAUUAAACACACACACACACAUUUAAACACACACACACAUUAAACACACACACACAUUAAACACACACAUUAAACACACACACACACACACAUUAAACACACACUGACAUUAAACACACACACACAUUAAACACACACACACACAUUAAACACACACACACACAUUAAACACACACACACAUUAAACACACACAGACAUUAAACACACACACACAUUAAACACACACAGACAUUAAACACACACACAUUAAACACACACACACAUUAAACACACACAGACAUUAAACACACACACACAUUAAACACACACACACAUUAAACACACACACAUUAAACACACACACACAUAAAACACACACACACA